RNAcentral lists this transfer RNA (73 nucleotides) under Camelus bactrianus (Bactrian camel). It matches the Rfam family "tRNA". From Rfam's summary of the family: Transfer RNA (tRNA) molecules are approximately 80 nucleotides in length. The record is from Rfam by way of RNAcentral. RNAcentral also lists the same sequence under 2 other names. Lineage: Eukaryota; Metazoa; Chordata; Mammalia; Artiodactyla; Camelidae.
GGAUGUAUAGCUUAGUGGUAGAGUGAAGUGCUCAGCAUGCACGAGUUCCUGGGUUCAAUCCCCGGUAUGUCCA